RNAcentral lists this long non-coding RNA (5787 nucleotides) under Sus scrofa (pig). Its description in RNAcentral is "lncRNA (ENSSSCG00015008161.1)". Lineage: Eukaryota; Metazoa; Chordata; Mammalia; Artiodactyla; Suidae. The record is from RNAcentral.
GGGUGCUUCCUGCUUCUUGAGAAACAAGCUGCCUUUUGGCUGCGACUGUGAUGCCGCUGACUCCCCAAUAGCUGUUUUCCUAGAAGUGAAAGUGGAUUUGCUCUGAGUUCCGUCGUCCCUUGUGACCCAGGGCUCACUGAGGAAGCAGCGCCAAGGGCACAGGACUGACCACCGAAAGGAGCCCCGCCAACCCGUCCUCAAGGGCACUUGGACUUGAUGCUGGCCUUGAGCCCCAGUGUGCACCCCCCCACUCCCCCGCCAGCCUGCAUCCAUGGAGUCUGAGCAGGGCCCACAGCUGUUGUGCCUCAGCAUGGAGCCAAGAGCUGAAAACAAAACAAAACCUCUGGAGGAAGAAGACAUGUUCUCUGGAUGCGGAAUGGGAGACCUUGGGGAGGUAUGCGUGUGCGGGGGAGGCCUCUGACUUGGGCCCAGGCAAAGGUCACGGUCAAUGGGAAAGCCCUGGAUGGGAGAGAGUCUAAGAUGGAGCCCAAGAAUGCCAUCAAGCAGCUGCCCAGGAUGGACGGGGACCCUCCGCCAGACGGGGCCAGUUCUCCUGAUGUAAGGCUAACAGGCUGACGUCCUGGGAUGCCGAGCUCCCAGGGAGCGGACCGUGAUGCCCGAGGGAGCUCCAGUCGCCGGUGUCCUGUGUGGUCUCGCUGAGGGAAGCCAGGCAAAAAUCUGGCAACUGAGCUGUAACGGCCAGGCUCUUGGCUCCGAGCAACAGGAAGCAAUUCUGGUUUAUUUCAGCAGAAAAGGACUUUAUCAAAAGGGUCUCGGGGAGGUCACAAAAUAACCAGGAGGGCUGGAGGACUGGGUUUGGAAAGCGAGCCAAGCAAAGGAGGCUGCGCCGCCGUCAGGACCACGGCCAAAGUCAGGCCACUCCAGUGAGAGCCCCACCGCCAAGUCCAGGACCCCUCGGCUUACGCUGCCACCUCUGGACAUGGAUGUGGUCCCUGCCAGCCCAGGAAUGGAAUGUCAUUGCCGUGGUGACUGCCGCCCUCCACCAGAACGGACCUCUGUGCGCCCUGCAUCUCUGCAUCACCAGCUCCUGACUCUGAGUCUUUGAUGGGGCAUCUGAUUGGCUGAGUGUGAGUCAGGAGCCCACGCGAACUGCAGUGGCGGCCGGGAAAGUGACAAGGUGGCAUUUUUCGAAUCUCUGGUGGGAGGCAACUAGGAUGAUGGGGGAUUUUUCAAAUAUGGUAAUGGGGUUGGAUGUGGGUCCACCUUAUACUUACCUCGCAUGGAAAAAUGUGGAACAGCUGUCCCUAGAGUGUGCCGGCAAACUGUAGUCCUCCAGGGACAGCCUGAGCCUGUCUUCCUGUCCCCCAGGUGCUGAUGGAAGUGUGUGUGUGCGUGUGUGUGUGUGUGAGCGUGCGCGGGUGUAAAGAUAGGAACAUGUUCCAUUCCAUGACGUGGGGUCAGGAACCCUGGGUUCGAUUCUGAGUCCCCUCUGCCUGUCAACCUUAGACAAGCUGUUCUAAGCCCUGGGUCUCAGUUCCAUGUCACAGCCUGUGGCUCAGCCUUUGAACGUGCAGAUGUGUGGUAGCUUCUGCUGUGGUCUGAGCCACUGGGCUGAAAGAUGCCUCUGCAGCCGCCAAAGCCCCAAAUAGAAUGAGGCCAUUGGUUCCGUGUGACGAAUGAGAGCACAGGUUUUGGAGUCAGAGAAGCGGGGGUUUACUGGCCAUGUGAUCUAGUAACAUCUUCCUUAACUUCUCCGAAACUUAGUUUCCUUACCUGCGAAAUGGAGUUGAGGUGGCGGGCGCCCAGCCUCCAUUCUAAUCUGGUCCUAUGGUGCCUUCAUGUUUGGCAGAGGCUGGGAGCCUAAACACCACAAUUCCCAGACACCUUUGCAGCUGGGGCUGCCCAUGAGAAUUCGGCUCUCAUCUAAUUAGAUUCUCAUCUAGAUUCACGCACGCUAGAGGCACUUGUGUGAGAUUAGGAAGGCAGUAGCGAGGAAGAGACUGCUACUCUGGCUGUUGCUGCUGGAGACACUGAGUGUGUGUGUGUGUGUGUGAGAGAGAGAGACAGUCAGACAGACAGACAGAGACAGAGAGAGAACAUUCUAGUGUUUGAUGGGGGGUUUGAGACGUGUUGUAGUGGCAGUGGCUCCCUGGAUGGCAACUGCACUGCUAUCUUUUUGAAAUCAGCAUCUCUGUGGCUGGCCCUCCCUCCCUCUGAUGACGGCGGAGGUGGCAGCAAUCUUGGCAGCCCAGUUCAGUGGUGUUACGGGAGUCUAGAGCCUGCUCCUCUGGCCCUGCCGAUGAUGUAAGCACCUAACUUCUUAUAUUAAAUCUCGUCUGGCUUAAAAUAGCUGGAGAGGUUUUCCGUUUCCUGCUGCUGAACCCUAACUGCUAUAGGAAUCACACUCCCCUGCUCACACAGUUGCUGGAAUGAGGCGAGAUGGCGGGUACUGUAAAGCCCUUUACACCUGUUAGAUGUUUUUCAAGGAAGGGUGUCCCUUUCGUCUGGGGAGACUAAAGCCGAGAGAAACCCUUGUGAUGAGUCACUCCAAAGCCUAUAGGCCCCCAGUCGGUUCUUUUGCCUUGAACUGCUGGGCAGAAGACAGCUUGAAAGAAUUCAGGUAAUUUGAGUGGGUCACCUGCUCGGAGAGGCCAAAAAGGUUCUCCUGUGGAUUCAGGAGGAAUCUUGCCUCUUUGCCCACCGUUAGAGCAAUGACUGGCCCCGCAGUGGUGCCAUGGUGGCUGGGAAAGGUGGCAGGCAUCCGGGUGUGAGCCUGAAAAGUCAGCUACUGUGGGACUCUGUCCUACACGUGCCUGGGUUCCCCAUUGAACCUACUGGUCUGUGUUAAAGCCCACCGCAAUUCCUUACCCCCCCCCCCAGUUAAAUCUUUGGCUUUCCAAAACCUCCCCCCUCCUCCCAUCACGUUUGAAGGCUCUCCCUUCCUGCGGUGAAGGACAUUCUCCGGGCCAUGGCACUGGCCCCUAUUUGCUGCCACAAAAUGAGAGCUCCCUGUGGGGUGAGCGCCCAGGCGGGUGGCCCUGGGGCCAUGAAGCCUCGUAGAAGCUGGGCUGGGCUUGGCUGCCAGAACAAUCCAGGCUCCACUUCAACCCAUCAGGGGGCUUGAGGCUGAGUGGGCAAGAUAAACUGUUUCAGUGGUUUUCAGGAGCCCUAAUCAAUUUCGAGGCAGGGCGAAGCCCUCAGGGACAGAUAAAGCCACCCCUGCGCUCCAAGCCCAGUUGGAGCCGAUGUUUGUGUGGUUUGAACUUUUGUGUGGUUUGGGCGAGUCCACCCGGCUUUGCUGGGGUGGUUUACUCUGUUCCCGAACUGCAGUACAGUGAGGCCAACGGCCCUGGACCCCUGGUGAAAUUAUUAUUAUACGUAUUUUUUAGGGCCGUACCCAUGGCACAUCGAGGUUCCCAGGCUAGGAGUCGGAUUGGAGCUGUUGCUGCCGGCCUACACCACAGCCACAGCAACGCCGAUCCGAGCUGCAUCUGUGACCUACACCACAGCUCAUGGCAACGCCGGAUCAUUAACCCACUGGGCGAGGUCAGGAAUCGAACUUGCAACCUCAUGGAUACUAGUCAGAUUCAUUUCUGCUGAGCCACGACGGGAACUCCCUCACCGGUGAACUUAUGUAGGUGCCCUGUCGUCUGUCGCUAUAGGGUCCUACAGGCUUGGGGAAAAGAGGCUGGGCAUGUCCAGGCCAUACCCCUGGUUCUCGCCGCCAGUGGCCCAGGGUUUUAGAAACACUCUGUUGCCCAAGGCAGGUGAGGCCCUUGCUUUGAGGAGUGGAGCUGCUGCGGGUUUGCCCCUCUGCUCCUGCUUCUAAGCGAGAAAGCCGAAGCCCGCUCUCAGAUUCCACCUUCACCAGGACGCGCUGUCACCGGGGCGGCGCUGAGGAAGCCCAGGACGCUAGGGACACCGCCUGGAGCCUGGGCGCAUAGCACCGGUUUUUGUUGGUGUUUUUUUUUUCUCCCCUUCCAGCUUGAGGUUUCUCAUUUAACCUCUAAGGUGCCAGAAGAUCCGGCAGGCCUUUGGCUGGCCCUGAGAGAGUCUAGGCACCCCAGGACCCACGCGUCAGCAGCGUCCUCCAUGCGCCAAUGUCUGUUGCGCUUGUGUGCGGCAGAGCAAGGCUGCUCAGUGAGGUGGGUGGACCCUGGGCCAGCGGAGACCCAUCCGACAGUGCCCUGUCCCCGGGGAAGCCUGUGUCAGCCCGUGGGGACCACAGCAAAAUAGAAUCAGGAACAGGUGCCGCCUGGGAGGGAAACGCAGGCGCCUGGCAUAUCUCAGUGACCUUCCUGCCUCUAUAGAAGGUGGGGACAGAGAGAGAGGCGAGUGUGGAGGGAGAGAGAGAGAGAGAGGGAAGUGGGAAGAAAUUGGUCACGGAGGAGGCUAUUUUUAUUCUUUGCUACAGCUGCGUGCAUUUCUCUGACCAACUAGGCAGAGAAAAUCAGACAGGCUCCCGCUGAAACAGGCCUUAAACUUGGGGUUGGGGGACAGAGAAGGGAGCGGGAGGUGCGCAGAAAAGGGGCGCAGAGGAGGAAAUCCCUGAGGAUCGAGCAAACCACAGCCUCCGGAAGCUGCCACCGCACAGAACGACCCCUGCCAUUCCCCCUGCCCCAGAGGCCCCAGGUUUCAUCGUGGCUGCCAAAGGUGGGCCAUCUUUUCCCUCCUGGGUGUCACCGUGGGCCUGACCCUGUCAAGACUGGGCAUUUGUUCAUCCCUGUCUUCGGCUCUUGGGUCUUGGAGGAGAGGGCAGGGGGACAGGACCUUUUGGGUGGUGUCAGUUACCCUGGGUAGCCUAGCACCUGGAAAAACUGGCAAAUGUCCCCACUAGGAAAUCAAGCUUAGGUCGGGGUCAGGGCCUUAGAGAUUCUUUUGAGGCCAUGACGCACUAAGCCAGCUGUUCCCAAAGUGUGUUCCAAGGAUCCCUGUGGUACCCCGGACCUUUGCAGAUUGAAUUUUCUGGUGGCAAAAUGCCACGAGGCUGGCGCUUCUUCAUAGACUUCAACCCAAACCGCAUAUCACAACAGAUUGGCUGCCGAAGCAGCUCGGAGAAAGCAGCUGUCUUCUCUGAAGCCAGCUCUUAAAGAGGUUUGCAAAAAAUGGAAAACGUUGUCGCUUUGCUCUGUCAUUUUUGUUUGUUUGUUUUAGAAAAUAGUCUUCUUCCACUAAACGGCGCUGUGAUGUUAACACGUGUAUGAGUUAUCUAUUGCUGUGUAACAAAUGACCCCGAAACUCGGUGGCUGAAAACCACACACAUGCAUUCUCUCUCAGUUUCUGUGGGUUAGGAAGCUGAGAACAGCCAGCUUAACUGGGUGCUUCUGACUCAGGGUGUCUCACGAGGCUGGCAUCACGGCAUGGUCCAGGGCUGCAGCCACCUCAAAGCUCAGCCAAGGAAAGAAAGGCUCCUCCUCUAGGUUCGCCCUCUUGGCUGUUGACGGGCCUCAGUUCCUUGCCUUGUGGCACGGCAGCUGGCUUCCUCUAGAGAGAGGGAAAGAGAGCACCCAAGACAGAAGCCGGAGUCUUUUUAUAAUCGAACUUUGGGCGUGACCAUCCCAUCACUCCUGUCCUAUUAGAAGUAACUCAAGGGAGUUCCUGUGGUGACGCAUCAGAAACGAAUCCGACUAGGAAUUAUGAGGCGGCGGGUUCGAUCCCUGGCCUCACGCAUUGGGUUAAGGAUCUGGCACUGUCAUGAGCUGUGGUGUAGGUCACAGGUGCGGCUUGGAUCUGGCGUGGCUGUGGCUGUGGUGCAGGUUGGCAGCUGUAGCUCCGAUUGGACCCCUAGCCUGGGAACCUUCAUAUGCUGUGGGUGUGGCCCUAAAA